GAACGCACAUUGCACUCCUUUGGAGUAUGCCUGUUUGAGAAUCUAUAGUAUUUAUUUCUGGGUUACUUUUAUUAGUACUCUGAAGAUUUGAGAUGUCUCCCCGCAAGGGCGAGUAUCUUUACAAUUAUAGCCUCUUUUGUGGUAAAUUAACUCUGCAGAACAGUAUUUGAAUGGAACCUUGGUUUCUCAUAAUGCCCAAUACGCAGACUUACCUAUUGAAAAGGGGGUCCAUAACCUAAAGUCUGGCGUUAAAACCAGACUUGAACCAUGGUCUCAAAUCAGGUAGGAAGACCCGCUGAACUUAAG
Molecule: unclassified non-coding RNA, 306 nt
Filed under: uncultured fungus
Lineage: Eukaryota; Fungi
Description: sequence contains 5.8S rRNA gene
Source: RNAcentral